This 4289-nucleotide long non-coding RNA is filed under the name Bos grunniens (domestic yak). RNAcentral's name for it is "lncRNA (ENSBGRG00000015996.1)". Lineage: Eukaryota; Metazoa; Chordata; Mammalia; Artiodactyla; Bovidae. The record is from RNAcentral.
AUGCCCGGGAUGCGCGCUGUGUUCUUGUGCUGGAUCCUGAUUGAGGUGGCUGUGGCAGCAGGGCAGACCUCCUGUAACCCAGGCGGAUAUGAGGUUCCAGGCGACCUUUCCUGUAGCAGAUUCUGCCCGGCUGGUGAGUCUGGGGUGAUUUCCAGAGCUUUCCAGGAAGACUUCUGCUUGGGAGAGGGAGGUUGGGGACACGUUGAGCUGAGCUGGGGCAGCCUGCGGGAAGAACCUGCCUGUCUGGGAUGGGGAGAGUCUGUCCUUGGCAGCCACCAGAACCCUGAACCCCGUCCAGACACACAGACACACGCCCAUGUGAUCAGUGAAGUCCCUCCCCAGCCCCUCUGUGAGGGGCAGCUGGCCCGUCACCACGGGCAUCCCGCUAACCCCACACACACCUGCACAUGCCGUGCCUUCCAGGGGCCCGUGGUUCAGAGCCCAAGCACCUGGUACCUGGACCCGUAGCCCCAUACCCUCCCCACUCCCCAGCCCACCCACCUGUGCACACACUAUAGGCGUUCAUAUGCACAUCUCUGCAUUCACACACUCCUGCAGGAACCACGUGUGGGAGCAAAGUGAAGUCUUGUGACCUUGCUCCAGCGCCCACGCAUUGCAGGGCAUCGGUACAAGCUGGGGGUGAUGUGGGUCCCUGGUCUCUGGGACGGACACCUGUGGCCUGGGAUCAGUCCAGCUGUUCCCAGGAGGCCGGGUGGGUUGGGGGUACUGUGCGGGGUCUGGUCUCCAGGUGACUCGGGACCUCCUCCAGCCAAGGCCUCAGAGACUGGGCGGGGUCCCCACCUGCCCUCCGUGUCCGUCUCACGCAGGCUACUCGUAAGCAGACCCAUAAACCAGGACCGCCACAUCGGAGCCUGCUCGCAGUGCGAGUCUGGAACUUUCAGAGCUCAUCCCAGGCAGACACAAUGCACGCCGUGUGCCCAGUGCAGAGAGGGUGAGUGGUGGCAGUCCCGCUCACGUGCCCGUUGGCCCGGCCCAUGGGAACCUCCCAAGGGCAGUGAACGGUCCCAGAGGGGCCUUGGCGGGGCCGUCGUCAGGGAGCUUGUUGGUCACGAUGCGGUGUGUGUUGCCUGAAGAAGCAGCUGCAAGUCAUUAGGGUUUCAGACUUGCUGAGUAUCAGUAUGGUACACAGAAGUUCUUCUAUCUCUGUGUAUCGAUGACAUUGUUUAAAUAGGUAAUUUUCCAAUUUAUUUAUCUUUAAUUGGAGUGUAAUUGCUUCGUAACGUUGCAUUGGUUUCUGCUGCACAAAAUGUAAAUCAGCUAAGUGUAUGUUUAUAUCCCUUCCUCUUCAGCCUCCCGCCCGACCCUUGAAAUGUAAUUUAAAAAUACCCACUUGCGUUGGCAAAAAAAGAUUUUGGAAUAAAUCUAGCAAAGCAUGUAUAAAUAUAUAUGUGAAAAACUACCUUUAAUGAAAUAUAAAUACAGAGAGAAAUACCACAAUAUAGGAAACCAGAAGGCUCAGCGUUUUGCUUUCUUGUGCUGUGGCCGUGGUGUGUGGCUUGCAACAUCUUAGUUCCCGACCAGGAGUUGAACUUGGGCCCUGGAAGUGAAAGCUUCCUAACCACUGGACCAGCAGGAACUCAUUUGGUGUUGUGUAAGGAUCAGUUUUUCCUGGAAUGGUGCUUAGAUUUUGUGCAUUCCCAAUGAAAAUUUCAGUGUAUCAGUGUAUAAAUCAAUUCAUCUUGCCAUAGACUUUAAACUGAUACGGUUUUAUUUUUAAGAGGUAAAAAUAAGAGACUUCCUGGCGGUCCAGUGGUUAACAAUCACCUGCUGAUGCAGGGCACGCAGGUUCAUCCCUGCUUUUCGAAGAUCACACAUGCCACCGAGCGGCGACUCCCGUGGGCCACAACCACUGUGCCCACGCACCCUAGGGCCCGUGCCCUGCAGGAAGAGAAGUCACCAGGUGAGAAGCCACAACAGAGAGUAGCACCCGCUCGCCACAACUAGGGAGUGUGCACACAGCAGGCAGAGCCGCACGGCCAGAAACAAAUGCAUUAGAAAAAAAAGGUAAACACAUCCCAGCAGGUCGUCAUGAACUUGCUGUCCUGACGCCUGCUGGAACAGCUUCCUUCUUGGAAGAUGAAAAACGAGAUAGCACCCUAGCUGCCCUCGUCUUUGACUCAGCAGAGACAGUGAGGCGGAGUGACAUUCACGUGGGGGCAGAGUUGGCCCGUGGAAACAGCUGCAUAGACGUGAGGUGUGGGUGCAGCCCCAGGACCCAGCCCUUCGCGGGUGGAAGGGCGGAACCCUCCAGCGAUGCUCGGAGAGACCGUGUUCCGUCCACACCGAGUAGGGCUGUUGUGACCUUCCUGGGGAUACGGUGGACACGUUGAUUUGGGGUGUGUCUGAGCAGGUGGCCCUCUGCCUCCAGCCCAGAUUGCCGGGCACCCACAGCUCCUCCGCAGACACCCAGGCGGCGGGGUGAGGUCUGGAGGUGGGCGCCGCGUGCUGAGCCUUUGACUGAGCCUGGGCGUGGCCGGGGCAGGACAGAGUCCAGGCCCCGGUGACUGACCCUCGGCCCGCCUCCAGCAGAUCAGGAAGUGGUGAGCGCUGCUCCGCCACCAGCGACCAGGAGUGCCAGUGCCAGCGGGCAAGUUCUACUGCGACUCCGUGGACUGCAGAGAGCUGCUUCCGGUGUACAAGGUGCCACCUAGCGGUGGGAGCCGGCCAACAGGCCCGGCGGGGUUCUCUUCUCCAUUCACCUGUUUGGUUUGGUCACUUGCUCAGCCACCCCUGGCCGGAGCCUCUGUUUUCCCAUCUGUGUAAUGGGGCUAAUGGUAACACCAGCCCCAGUGAGGAGCCCUGAGGAUUAAGGCAGGCGAGUCACCCGGAAGUUUCCGUGUGGGGUGAACUGGAGUCAUUGCUCAUCCAUUUCUUCCUCCUCUCAUUCACUCAUUCAUGCGUGACUGUGAGCCCUGCUGUGGUCUGCGGGGUCGUGUUGCAGGCCUGGGCCCCAGCAGUGGUGGAGAGCCCCAACAUGUAUGCAGUGAUGGGCUCACGAGGGACAGAGGCUGCAGGAGACAGGGCCCUAGGCGGAGGCAGGGAGGCGGGGCGCAGGGUGGAGCCAUGGGGCGUCCAGGGGAGGCGCUGUAGGCAGGGGCGCCCCAGGCUCCGGGCCGGGUGGGAUGGCCAGUGCGUGUUUUCUGCCCUGAUGUUACAAAUCACCUCGACCGGGAGGCUUUUGAAAACAAGAAGAAUGUAUUCUUUCACAGUUCUGGAGACCGGAAGUCGGAAAUCGAGGUGUCAGCAGGGCCAGGCUCCUCCAUAGGCUCUCGGGAGGAAUCUCUCGCUUCCUCAGCUUUGCCGGCACUCCUUGGCGCUCCUCGGCUUGUGGACGCAUCCCUUCCGUCUCUGCUUCCGCCUUCCAGGGAUGUUCUCCCGUGUGCUCUGCCUCAGCAUCUUCACAUGGCCUUCUCUCUGUCUGCGUACAUCUUCCCUCUUGUGAGGACGCUGCUCACUGACUGAGGCCCACCCUGAUCCGGUGUGACCUCCUCUUAAAGGAUUACAUCUGCAGAGACCCUGUUUCCACAUCAGGUUGCAUUCUGUGGUUUCCGGUGGGCUUAGAUUUGGGGCAGACUUUGAGAAGACACUCACAGUGGUAAAGCCACUUGUAAAAUCACCUGCCUUUGUAGAUUCUUAAAUACAACCCCGGCCAGCUUGCGCUGACACCCAGGCGGCGGGGUGAGGUCUGGAGGUGGGCGCCGCGUGCUGAGCCUUUGACUGAGCCUGGGCGUGGCCGGGGCAGGACAGAGUCCAGGCCCCGGUGACUGACCCUCGGCCCGCCUCCAGCAGAUCAGGAAGUGGUGAGCGCUGCUCCGCCACCAGCGACCAGGAGUGCCAGUGCCAGCGGGCAAGUUCUACUGCGACUCCGUGGACUGCAGAGAGCUGCUUCCGGUGUACAAGGUGCCACCUAGCGGUGGGAGCCGGCCAACAGGCCCGGGCGGGGUUCUCUUCUCCAUUCACCUGUUUGGUUUGGUCACUUGCUCAGCCACCCCUGGCCGGAGCCUCUGUUUUCCCAUCUGUGUAAUGGGGCUAAUGGUAACACCAGCCCCAGUGAGGAGCCCUGAGGAUUAAGGCAGGCGAGUCACCCGGAAGUUUCCGUGUGGGGGUGAACUGGAGUCAUUGCUCAUCCAUUUCUUCCUCCUCUCAUUCACUCAUUCAUGCGUGACUGUGAGCCCUGCUGUGGUCUGCGGGGUCGUGUGCAGGCCUGGGCCCCAGCAGUGGUGGAGAGCCCCAACAUGUAUGCAGUGAUGGGCUCACGAGGGACAGAG